RNAcentral lists this ribosomal RNA (327 nucleotides) under Triticum aestivum (bread wheat). RNAcentral's name for it is "partial small subunit ribosomal RNA". The record is from RNAcentral. Lineage: Eukaryota; Viridiplantae; Streptophyta; Magnoliopsida; Poales; Poaceae.
AUGUCGUCGUUCGCCGGUGUGUCCGUAGUCGACGGCGACAAGGAGUGCUCUUGCGACACAUCGGCCGUCCACGCCGGCACCGACAACGGGUAUCACCUGCUCGUGGUUAGGGGCUACCCGGGUACAGCAGAGGGGUCACCCACCGGCGACAGCAUCACCACCGGUAUUUUCAUGGUAGGAGGCUAUUAUUGGUACAUCCAGUACUACCCUAACGGCUUAAACCCGGAUUGCGCCGACUACAUUUCCCUCUAUGUAGCCCUUGUCUACGACAACGACGAUGCCGAGCGUGGCCUGGCCGUGGAGGCCAAGUUCAGUUUCAGUCUCGUC